GUUGCGGUGGUUGAGUGGAAAGUAGCUUACAGCGAACAAGAAGCUCGUCGCAACAACGUAAGCCGUAGCUUACCAGGCAUGUACCAGCGACUGUAUAUUUCUAGUUUUGGAUCGUAAAUAAUAUUAUAAUCAAAUAUUUUUAUAAUAUAUAUAUUUCAUUCUCUUACGUUCAUAUUCAUGCAAAAGAAAAUAAUGAGACAGCUUUUAAGCAUUGCUAUAUAAAACACUAUUCUAUUACUCUCAAAUAUAAAAUAUCAAAAAAUUAAAAGAUUUCCUAUAUCUAUUCAAGUCUCUAUGAAGUUAAUACCGACUACUGAGCAUGUUCAACAAACUAGAUGAUGGUUGGCUUAAUCGAGUGUUUUAUUAUUGCUCAAAAUGAAAUAUGAAGCGUCGAUUAAAGAUUUCAACUGAUUUUUUAUUUUCGAUUCCCUGUAUGACUUGUGUUUUCUUACAAGUACUAGACUAAUGUUUUUGUUUUGGAGCAAUAUAGAUAUUGAAAGAACCAAUGCGCAAAUCUCAAUUCUAUUCAAUAUUAGAUGGAACCAUCUCGAAAAGUUAGCCAACAAGUUUCUAGAUCUUUAAAUGUGAAUACCAUCCUUAGACCUUGAGAAGUCAAGGAUAAGCAGCAUUUUAGUUGAAACGAUAGAUCAGUGAUCACUCCUAAAUAACUCAAUAUAAACAGUUUGUAGUAAUACAUCUAGCGCUAUAUUCUAAGCGCUUUUUA
Molecule: non-coding RNA, 724 nt
Organism: Schizosaccharomyces pombe (fission yeast)
Lineage: Eukaryota; Fungi; Ascomycota; Schizosaccharomycetes; Schizosaccharomycetales; Schizosaccharomycetaceae
Source: the annotation of a GenBank genome assembly